This 434-nucleotide ribosomal RNA is filed under the name Tetragnatha sp. YCS-2011. Its description in RNAcentral is "partial 16S ribosomal RNA". It matches the Rfam family "Bacterial large subunit ribosomal RNA", at positions 1845 to 2605 of the family's 2925-position model. The record is from RNAcentral. Lineage: Eukaryota; Metazoa; Arthropoda; Arachnida; Araneae; Tetragnathidae.
AUUUAAAGUAAAGCCUGCUCAAUGAUAAUUCAAAAGCCGCAGAAAAUUAACUGUGCUAAGGUAGCAUAAUCAUUUGUCUCUUAAUUGGGGACUAGAAUGAAAGGUUUAACAUUUUCUUUACUUUUUUUGUUUUUUCUAUAAAAUUUUUACUAAAUAUAAAAAUGUAUUUAUUUCUUAAUUAGACGACAAGACCCUUUCAAACUUUACUAAAGUUAAGCUGGGGAAGCUAUAUAAAUAUAAUCUUAUUUACCCUUAAAUAAAAGACCCAAAUAAAUUGAUAAAAUGAUCAAGUUACUGAAGGGAUAACAGCAUAAUAAACUUAUAAAGAUCUUAUAAAAAAGUUAGUUUAUGACCUCGAUGUUGAAUUAUUUUUCCCUAGCACCCGCAAGAGGGUGCUAAGGAGGUCUGUUCGACCUUUAAACAAUUACGUGAUC